RNAcentral lists this ribosomal RNA (110 nucleotides) under Staphylococcus aureus. RNAcentral describes it as "partial 23S ribosomal RNA". It matches the Rfam family "Bacterial large subunit ribosomal RNA", at positions 2814 to 2925 of the family's 2925-position model. The record is from RNAcentral. Lineage: Bacteria; Bacillati; Bacillota; Bacilli; Caryophanales; Staphylococcaceae.
CCCAACUUCGGUUAUAAGAUCCCUCAAAGAUGAUGAGGUUAAUAGGUUCGAGGUGGAAGCAUGGUGACAUGUGGAGCUGACGAAUACUAAUCGAUCGAAGACUUAAUCAA